Long non-coding RNA from Dermacentor andersoni, 536 nucleotides. RefSeq lists it as uncharacterized. Lineage: Eukaryota; Metazoa; Arthropoda; Arachnida; Ixodida; Ixodidae. The record is from RefSeq and is a predicted model, not a curated record.
UUCGGCGCCAAUUUUGUCAGUGGCAAUGGCAGUGACCAACAGAGACUUGUUUGGGAUAAUGCGCGGCCGCUGCAAAGAGCCAUUUUGUGACUGUGAGCGCUUCAGUGUCCUCAUUUCGGCGAACAUUCGCUGUGACUACUGCGACCACAGCCCCGGAUCGCAUGGGAAAAUAGACGAACUUGAUGGCAUUGCCAGCUGAUGAGCUCCAAGUAACAGCACCUCACAUUCACUGCGCUCCUGACAAGAUAUGUAUUUUUGCUGGCAGCCAAGCCGAAGUCAUCACUGUCUCCAAGUCUGAAAUACAACGGGCACUUAUUUUUUGCCUUUUGGCAUAUUAUGUUAAGAACCUAGAAUAUCCAUUUGCAUUUUACCAAAUGCUUGCUCUCGUGCAAAAAGUUGUGCUGCCAGGAGACAAGCUAGUGAAAGGACUGCUUUCUACCCGUCUGAAACGUCUCUUUGCGCUCCUAAGCAGUAAAAAUGUAAUCUAGGGAGUAGUGCUGUUCGCGCUGCUUUCCAUGUUUUUCACCAACUCUGAA